UAGAAUGUAGCUAAAAGUUAAAGCAUCUCCCUUACACCGAGAAGACACCCGUGCAAACCAGGUCACUCUAA
This 71-nucleotide transfer RNA is filed under the name Conger oceanicus (American conger). RNAcentral's name for it is "tRNA-Val". It matches the Rfam family "tRNA". From Rfam's summary of the family: Transfer RNA (tRNA) molecules are approximately 80 nucleotides in length. Their secondary structure includes four short double-helical elements and three loops (D, anti-codon, and T loops). The record is from RNAcentral. Lineage: Eukaryota; Metazoa; Chordata; Actinopteri; Anguilliformes; Congridae.